Molecule: ribosomal RNA, 466 nt
Filed under: uncultured bacterium
Lineage: Bacteria
Description: partial 16S ribosomal RNA
Rfam family: Bacterial small subunit ribosomal RNA
Source: RNAcentral
GGACGAACGCUGGCGGCGUGCUUAACACAUGCAAGUCGAACGGUGAACUCCGCUUGCGGGGGGAUCAGUGGCGAACGGGUGAGUAACACGUGGGCAACCUGCCCUCAGCUCUGGGAUAACUCCAAGAAAUUGGGGCUAAUACCGGAUAUGACCGCUGACCGCAUGGUCUGGUGGUGGAAAGAUUUAUCGGCUGGGGAUGGGCCCGCGGCCUAUCAGCUUGUUGGUGGGGUAGUGGCCUACCAAGGCGACGACGGGUAGCCGGCCUGAGAGGGUGACCGGCCACACUGGGACUGAGACACGGCCCAGACUCCUACGGGAGGCAGCAGUGGGGAAUAUUGCGCAAUGGGCGAAAGCCUGACGCAGCAACGCCGCGUGGGGGAUGACGGCCUUCGGGUUGUAAACCUCUUUCAGCAGGGACGAAGCGAAAGUGACGGUACCUGCAGAAGAAGCACCGGCCAACUACGUG